This 472-nucleotide ribosomal RNA is filed under the name uncultured bacterium. Its description in RNAcentral is "bacterial SSU rRNA". It matches the Rfam family "Bacterial small subunit ribosomal RNA", at positions 355 to 825 of the family's 1533-position model. The record is from RNAcentral.
UGGGGAAUAUUGGACAAUGGGCGAAAGCCUGAUCCAGCCAUGCCGCGUGUGUGAAGAAGGUCUUCGGAUUGUAAAGCACUUUAAGUUGGGAGGAAGGGCAGUUACCUAAUACGUGAUUGUUUUGACGUUACCGACAGAAUAAGCACCGGCUAACUCUGUGCCAGCAGCCGCGGUAAUACAGAGGGUGCAAGCGUUAAUCGGAAUUACUGGGCGUAAAGCGCGCGUAGGUGGUUAGUUAAGUUGGAUGUGAAAUCCCCGGGCUCAACCUGGGAACUGCAUUCAAAACUGACUGACUAGAGUAUGGUAGAGGGUGGUGGAAUUUCCUGUGUAGCGGUGAAAUGCGUAGAUAUAGGAAGGAACACCAGUGGCGAAGGCGACCACCUGGACUGAUACUGACACUGAGGUACGAAAGCGUGGGGAGCAAACAGGAUUAGAUACCCUGGUAGUCCCUGAGCGGGCUGGCAAGGCGCAU